CCUACGGGUGGCAGCAGUAGGGAAUAUUGCUCAAUGGGGGAAACCCUGAAGCAGCCACGCCGCGUGGAGGAUGACGGUUUUCGGAUUGUAAACUCCUUUUGUUAGAGAAGAUAAUGACGGUAUCUAACGAAUAAGCACCGGCUAACACCGUGCCAGCAGCCGCGGUACGACGGAGGGUGCAAGCGUUAUACGGAAUCACUGGGCGUAAAGAGCGCGUAGGUGGGAUAGCAAGUCAGAUGUUAAAUUCUAUGGCUUAACCAUAGAACUGCAUUUGAAACUGUUAUUCUAGAGUAUAGGAGAGGUAGGUGGAAUGCUUGGUGUAGGGGUAAAAUCCGUAGAGAUCAAGAGGAAUACUCAUUGCGAAGGCGACCUGCUAGAACAUAACUGACGCUGAUGCGCGAAAGCGUGGGUAGCAAACAGGAUUAGAUACCCUAGUAGUC
Molecule: ribosomal RNA, 440 nt
Filed under: uncultured bacterium
Lineage: Bacteria
Description: partial 16S ribosomal RNA
Rfam family: Bacterial small subunit ribosomal RNA
Source: RNAcentral